UAAGGAAUAUUGGGCAAUGGAGGCAACUCUGACCCAGCCAUGCCGCGUGGAGGAUGAAGGCCCUCUGGGUUGUAAACUUCUUUUACGGGGGACGAAACCUCUUUAUUCUUAAAGAGUUGACGGUACCCUGGGAAUCAGCACCGGCUAACUCCGUGCCAGCAGCCGCGGUAAUACGGAGGGUGCAAGCGUUAUCCGGAUUCACUGGGUUUAAAGGGUGCGUAGGCGGGCAGGUAAGUCCGUGGUGAAAUCUCCGAGCUUAACUCGGAAACUGCCAUGGAUACUAUUUGUCUUGAAUACUGUGGAGGUGAGCGGAAUAUGUCAUGUAGCGGUGAAAUGCUUAGAGAUGACAUAGAACACCAAUUGCGAAGGCAGCUCACUGCGCAGUGAUUGACGCUGAGGCACGAAAGCGUGGGGAUCAAACAGG
RNAcentral lists this ribosomal RNA (424 nucleotides) under uncultured bacterium. RNAcentral's name for it is "bacterial SSU rRNA". It matches the Rfam family "Bacterial small subunit ribosomal RNA", at positions 355 to 776 of the family's 1533-position model. The record is from RNAcentral.